GCUGGGCAUGGUGGCUCACGCCUGUAAUCCCAGCACUUUGGGAGGCCGAGAUGGGUGGAUCACCUGAGGUCAGGAGUUCGAAACCAGCCUGGCCAACAUGGUGACACCCCAUCUCUA
Molecule: unclassified non-coding RNA, 117 nt
Organism: Callithrix jacchus (white-tufted-ear marmoset)
Lineage: Eukaryota; Metazoa; Chordata; Mammalia; Primates; Cebidae
Rfam family: Metazoan signal recognition particle RNA
About the family: The signal recognition particle (SRP) is a universally conserved ribonucleoprotein. It is involved in the co-translational targeting of proteins to membranes.
Source: Ensembl